GAGGGCCACCCAGAGAAGGCAGACCUUCCUGUCUCUUCCUAGUGUGGCCCCUAGUGUGGCCCUGGAGCCCAACCUGAGCUUCUCGAGCAUGAGCUACAGCUCUGGCUAUUGCUCUGAUGAGCCACAAAGGCUUAGGACAUGCUCCAGCAGGAGCUUCUCUAGUGGAAUUGGCACAAGGACCGAUGCUAUUUGCACCCGUUCAUGGUUGCCUUCCUGGUUGCCUUCCUGGUUUGCCAUCCUGCUCUUCCUCCUCCCCUUUCUUCUGACCUUCGUAUUCCUGUUUCGACUGCAUUCCCCACUAUGAACCUUAAUCUGAUGACCCGACCGACUCAACCUGACCCUCGACCUGAUCUGACUCAAAAGACUACGGUAGGACCUGUUUUUCAUCUGUCUAAUACUGUACUUAGCCCUACUGUUUGUUUCAUGUCUAUUAUCUAUGCCUUGAUUGGGUGAAUGUAGCAUUGAAGUUAUGAGCCUGAUUGUCCAAUAAGGACUUGUUGAAUCUCUUUCUACAGCAUGGAACUCCUAUCAUGAAUUCAGCUUUCAAAAUGCAAAUGGAUACUAUACUGGUGAGAGAGAGAGAACGUGAGAGAAGGGGGGAAGAGAGAGAGAGCAUACCGAAAAUAG
Salvelinus fontinalis (brook trout) is the source of this 627-nucleotide long non-coding RNA. RefSeq lists it as uncharacterized. The transcript is spliced from 3 exons. The record is from RefSeq and is a predicted model, not a curated record. Lineage: Eukaryota; Metazoa; Chordata; Actinopteri; Salmoniformes; Salmonidae.